GAUGAACGCUGGCGGCGUGCCUAAUACAUGCAAGUCGAGCGAACAGAUAAGGAGCUUGCUCCUUUGACGUUAGCGGCGGUCGGGUGAGUUACACGUGGAUAACCUACCUAUAAGACUGGGAUAACUUCGGGAAACCGGAGCUAAUACCGGAUAACAUAUUGAACCGCAUGGUUCAAUAGUGAAAGGCGGCUUUGCUGUCACUUAUAGAUGGAUCCGCGCCGUAUUAGCUAGUUGGUAAGGUAACGGCUUACCAAGGCAACGAUACGUAGCCGACCUGAGAGGGUGAUCGGCCACACUGGAACUGAGACACGGUCCAGACUCCUACGGGAGGCAGCAGUAGGGAAUCUUCCGCAAUGGGCGAAAGCCUGACGGAGCAACGCCGCGUGAGUGAUGAAGGUCUUCGGAUCGUAAAACUCUGUUAUCAGGGAAGAACAAAUGUGUAAGUAACUGUGCACAUCUUGACGGUACCUGAUCAGAAAGCCACGGCUAACUACGUG
Molecule: ribosomal RNA, 497 nt
Filed under: uncultured bacterium
Lineage: Bacteria
Description: partial 16S ribosomal RNA
Rfam family: Bacterial small subunit ribosomal RNA
Source: RNAcentral